This 229-nucleotide ribosomal RNA is filed under the name uncultured bacterium. RNAcentral's name for it is "partial 16S ribosomal RNA". It matches the Rfam family "Bacterial small subunit ribosomal RNA", at positions 568 to 796 of the family's 1533-position model. The record is from RNAcentral.
UUCGUAGGCGGUCUGUUAAGUCAGAGGUGAAAUUUAUCGGCUCAACCGAUAACCUGCCUUUGAAACUGGCAGACUUGAGUAUUGGAGAGGAAAGCGGAAUUCUUGGUGUAGCGGUGAAAUGCGUGGAUAUCAAGAGGAACACCCGUGGCGAAGGCGGCUUUCUGGCCAAAUACUGACGCUGAGGAACGAAAGCUAGGGGAGCGAACAGGAUUAGAUACCCUGGUAGUCC